GUCCACGCAGUAAACGAUGUAAACUGGCUGUGUGUAGGGCUUAAUCCUAUGCGUAGCGAAGCUAACGCGUUAAGUUUACCGCCUGGGGAGUACGGUCGCAAGAUUAAAACUCAAAGGAAUUGACGGGGGCCCGCACAAGCGGUGGAGCAUGUGGUUUAAUUCGAUGCAACUCGAAAACCUUACCUACCCUUGACAUCCUGAGAAUUUUGCCGAGAGGUGAAAGUGCCGAAAGGAGCUCAGAGACAGGUGCUGCAUGGCUGUCGU
This 264-nucleotide ribosomal RNA is filed under the name uncultured bacterium. RNAcentral describes it as "partial 16S ribosomal RNA". It matches the Rfam family "Bacterial small subunit ribosomal RNA", at positions 793 to 1055 of the family's 1533-position model. The record is from RNAcentral.